RNAcentral lists this ribosomal RNA (464 nucleotides) under uncultured bacterium. Its description in RNAcentral is "partial 16S ribosomal RNA". It matches the Rfam family "Bacterial small subunit ribosomal RNA", at positions 28 to 507 of the family's 1533-position model. The record is from RNAcentral.
GACGAACGCUGGCGGCGUGCUUAACACAUGCAAGUCGAACGGAAAGGCCCUGCUUUUGUGGGGUGCUCGAGUGGCGAACGGGUGAGUAACACGUGAGUAACCUGCCCUUGACUUUGGGAUAACUUCAGGAAACUGGGGCUAAUACCGGAUAGGAGCUCCUGCUGCAUGGUGGGGGUUGGAAAGUUUCGGCGGUUGGGGAUGGACUCGCGGCUUAUCAGCUUGUUGGUGGGUUAGUGGCUUACCAAGGCUUUGACGGGUAGCCGGACUGCGAGGGUGACCGGCAUCGGUGGAGCGGAGACGCGGCACGGACGCCUGCGGGAGGCGGCGGUGGGGAAUAUUGCGCGAUGGGCGUAAGCCGGGUGCAGCCACGCCGCGUGAAGGAAGGCGGUUUGCGGAUUGUAAACUUCUGUUAUUAGUGAAGAAUAAUGACGGUAGCUAAGGAGCAAGCCACGGCUAACUACGUG